AGAUAAUGUGACCAAGCUAAUAAGUGCAUAUGGUGGAUGCCUUGGCUAAGACUGUCGAUGAAGGACGUGGUAAGCUGCGUUAAGCGUCGGGGAGGUGCAAACAACCUUUGAUCCGGCGAUUUCCGAAUGGGGUAACCCACUGCAGAGUAAUCUACAGUAUCCGAGAGGAAGGCAACCCGGGGAAGUGAAACAUCUCAGUACCCGGAGCAAAAGAAAUCAACCGAGAUACCGAAAGUAGUGGCGAGCGAAAUCGGUAUAGCCUAAACCAUUGUGUUUACACAAAGGGGUUGCAGGACCGCGUGAGUAGAGUUACCAAUCAAAAAGCUAAUUGAACGGUUUGGAAAAUCCGACCAUAGAAGGUGAAAGUCCUGUAAGUGAAAGUUUUUUGACUCGAAGCGGUAUCCUAAGUACCGUCGGACACGUGAAAUCCGGCGGGAAUCUGGGGGGACCACCCUCCAAGGCUAAAUACAAGUCUUAGACCGAUAGUGAACUAGUACCGUGAGGGAAAGGCGAAAAGAACCGCGGGAGCGGAGUGAAAUAGAACCUGAAACCGUAUGCAUACAAGCAGUUCGAGGCUUAUGCCGGAAGCGCAAGUAACCGGAAUGGCUGAGAGCGUGCCUGUUGAAGAAUGAUCCGGCGAGUUAUUGGUAGGUGCAAGGUUAAUUAUUAUGUUUACGCAUAUUAAGCAGCCGUAGCGAAAGCAAGUCUGAAAGGGCAAAUAGUACCUAUCAUUAGACCCGAAGCCAAGUGAUCUAUGCCUGGACAGAGUGAAUCCCCUUUAAUAGGGGGAGGAGGCUCGAAGCGUCGACCGUUAAAAAGGUCUUGCAUGAGCUGGGUAUAGGGGUGAAAGGCCAAUCUAACUUGGUGAUAGCUGGUUCUCCUCGAAAUAGUUUUUGGGCUAGCCUGGAGCGUUAAACCAGAGAGGUAGAGCACUGGAUAGUUUAGUGAGUGUAACCCACUUUGCAAUGCUAACCAAACUCCGAAUUCUUUGGCGUAUUUCUCUGGAGUCAGUACGUGUGGGAUAAGCUUCACGUGCAAAAGGGAAACAACCCAGACCAUCAAUUAAGGUCCCCAAAUAUAUGCUAAGUGGUAAAGGAUGUGGAAUUUCUUAGACAGCUAGGAGGUUGGCUUAGAAGCAGCCAUCCUUUAAAGAGUGCGUAACAGCUCACUAGUCAAGUGAUUCUGCGCCGAAGACACCCGGGGCUCAAGCAUAUUACCGAAAUUAUGGAUUCUAUAGCAAGUAAGUUAUAGAGUGGUAGAGGAGCGUUCCUGCUGCGCUGAAGGCAUACCGUAAGGAGUGCUGGAGUUGCAGGAAGUGAGAAUGUCGGAAUAAGUAGCGAUAAGAGAGGUGAAAAUCCUCUCCGCCGAAAACCUAAGGUUUCCUUGAGUAAAGUUCGUCUGCUCAGGGUCAGUCGAUCCUAAGCCGAGGUCGAAAGACGUAGGCGAUGGGUAUCCGGUUAAUAUUCCGGAACUAUCUUUGGUGCGUAUAAUGUGUUCGGCUACGCUUUUCAGUAGGUCAUCAUCCGAUUGGAAGUGGAUGUUGCCCCGUAAGGGGGAGGAGCUGAGGUAACUCGGGAAACUGACUGUAUGGAAAGCCAAGAAAAACCCGGACACCUGUGCCAGAGGUAAACGUACCGCAAACGGACACACGUAGGUGGGGUGAAAAUCCUAAGGCGCGCGAGAUAACUUUCGUUUAGGAACUCGGCAUAUUAGCCCCGUAACUUCGGGAUAAGGGGUGCCUGUGGUAACACAGGUCGCAGUGAAAUGGCCCUCGUGACUGUUUAACAAAAACACAGGACUCUGCUGAAAUCGCAAGAUGAUGUAUAGGGUCUGACGCCUGCCCGGUGCUGGAAGGUCAAGGGGAGGAGUUAGCGCAAGUGAAGCUCUGAACUUAAGCCCCAGUAAACGGCGGCCGUAACUAUAACGGUCCUAAGGUAGCGAAAUUCCUUGUCGGGUAAGUUCCGACCUGCACGAAUGGCGUAACAAAGAGGGCACUGUCUCAACGAAAGACUCGGCGAAAUUGUGGUACCCGUGAAGACGCGGGUUGCCUGCGGCUAGACGAAAAGACCCCGUGGAGCUUUACUGUAUCUUAGUCUUGAAUUAUGGAAGUAAAUGCGUAGAAUAGGCGGGACCCUUUGAAGCAUGGCUUUUGGGUCGUGCGGAGGGGCAAUGUGAAAUACCGCUCUUUUAGUUCUGUGGUUCUAACUCCUUUGUUUGAAUCGACAGGGAGAACAUGGCUAGGUGGGCAGUUUAACUGGGGCGGUUGCCUCCUAAAUAGUAACGGAGGCGUUCAAAGGUACCCUCAGGACCAAUAGAAAUGGUCUAUAGAGUGCAAGUGCAGAAGGGUGCUUAACUGCAAGACAAACAGGUCGAGCAGAUGCGAAAGCAGGAACUAGUGAUCCGGCGGUUUAGUGUGGAAUUGCCGUCGCUCAACGAAUAAAAGCUACCCCGGGGAUAACAGGCUUAUUUUCUCCGAGAGUCCAUAUCGACGAGAAAGUUUGGCACCUCGAUGUCGGCUCAUCCCAUCCUGGGGCUGGAGUAGGUCCCAAGGGUUUGGCUGUUCGCCAAUUAAAGGGGUACGCGAGCUGGGUUCAGUACGUCGUGAGACAGUACGGUCUCUAUCUACCGUGGGCGCAGGAAACUUGAGAGGACUCGUUCUUAGUACGAGAGGACCGGAAUGAACAUACCUCUGGUGUUUCGGUUGUUCCGCCAGGAGCAUUGCCGAGUAGCCAAGUAUGGAUGAGAUAAACACUGAAAGCAUAUAAGUGUGAAACUCGCCUCAAGAUAAGGUUUCCCCUGAAGGGCACUUGUAGACUACAAGUUUGAUAGGCUGGAAGUGGAAGUACAGUAAUGUAUGUAGCUAACCAGUACUAAUUGCCCGCUCGGCUUGGUCGC
Molecule: ribosomal RNA, 2895 nt
Filed under: Candidatus Endomicrobiellum trichonymphae
Lineage: Bacteria; Pseudomonadati; Elusimicrobiota; Endomicrobiia; Endomicrobiales; Endomicrobiaceae
Description: bacterial LSU rRNA
Rfam family: Bacterial large subunit ribosomal RNA
Source: RNAcentral